This 253-nucleotide ribosomal RNA is filed under the name uncultured bacterium. RNAcentral describes it as "partial 16S ribosomal RNA". It matches the Rfam family "Bacterial small subunit ribosomal RNA", at positions 524 to 776 of the family's 1533-position model. The record is from RNAcentral.
UACGGGGGGAGCAAGCGUUGUUCGGAUUUACUGGGCGUAAAGGGCGCGUAGGCGGCUUUGCGUGUCUUUCGUGAAAUCCCUCGGCUCAACUGAGGACGUGCGGAAGAAACUGCAGGGCUGGAGUCCGGGAGAGGAGGGUGGAAUUCCCAGUGUAGCGGUGAAAUGCGUAGAUAUCGAGAGGAACACCGGUGGCGAAGGCGGCUUCCUGGACAGUUACUGACGCUGAGACGCGAAAGCGUGGGGAGCAAACAGG